Molecule: ribosomal RNA, 435 nt
Filed under: uncultured bacterium
Lineage: Bacteria
Description: partial 16S ribosomal RNA
Rfam family: Bacterial small subunit ribosomal RNA
Source: RNAcentral
AACGAACGCUGGCGGCAGGCUUAACACAUGCAAGUCGAACGCGUGCAGCAAUGCACGAGUGGCGCACGGGUGAGUAACGAGUGGAUAUCUGCCUUUUGGUUCGGAAUAACCCCGGGAAACUGGGGCUAAUACCGGAUGGUUCCUACGGGAUAAAGAUUUAUCGCCAAAAGAUGAGUCCGCGUCCGAUUAGCUAGUUGGUGAGGUAAUGGCUCACCAAGGCGACGAUCGGUAGCUGGUCUGAGAGGACGAUCAGCCACACUGGGACUGAGACACGGCCCAGACUCCUACGGGAGGCAGCAGUGGGGAAUAUUGGACAAUGGGGGCAACCCUGAUCCAGCCAUGCCGCGUGAGUGAUGAAGGCCUUCGGGUUGUAAAGCUCUUUUGGCGGGGACGAUGAUUACGGUACCCGCAGAAUAAGCCCCGGCUAACUUCGUG